UCCCUCUUAGCUCAGUUGGUAGAGCGCGUCACUAGUAUGGGUGUCCGAAAUCGAAGUCAAUGACGAGGUCAGUCGUUCAAAUCGGCUAGCGGGAA
Molecule: non-coding RNA, 95 nt
Organism: Mycena vitilis
Lineage: Eukaryota; Fungi; Basidiomycota; Agaricomycetes; Agaricales; Mycenaceae
Source: the annotation of a GenBank genome assembly